CAAGGCUCCACCGAGGGAGCGGGAGCUGGGAAGGUGCCGGGGGCGGGGCUCGCAGAGGAGGCGGGGGAUUGCGGGGGCGUGGCUGGAGGGGGCGUGGUCCGCGGGUGCUGCGCCGGAGUUGGGGAAGCGUCCUGCUGCACACAGGACGCAGUAAGCAGCCGGCGCUGAAGCUAGCGCCCGGGUCGGGACGUUCUUGUGGCAGAGUCGGUCUUGUUCUUGCGAUCCAGUCCUUUCUGGGACCUAGCACCGAGCGCUCUCCGUGCACCAGGCAGGACAGUGGGCAGCAGGGCUGACCCCGCAACUGUGUGAGUCCACCCUUGCACCGGUUCUGCCCUGGAACUCCUGUUCCAGGGAUUCGGGAAUGGACAGACUGGCUCCUGCCCUCAAACUGCUGACAUACUCUUGAGAGGAGCAGAUAAAAGCCAAGUAAAAACCAAACAAGCAGGAUGGACUGUGAGCAUCUCAUCAUCUGAGGAAGACCCUGGGUGGAGAUCACUGAAGGAUUUCUUCAAGAUAUAGUGGUCCCAGCGGUGUGCUGAUGGAUUCUGGGUGUGGAAUGACCCUUCAUGGAUGGUGUUUUACUUCGAUUCAAAACUUAAGCAGCUUAAAUGCUUAUGCUGAAGUUACUCACCCAAAUUUAAAUAAAGUGUGAGAGUGGAGAAAGUUGUUUCCAAAUGAGUGUGCUUUCCAUGUUAUGUGAGUUUUUAAAAUCAAACUUAUUUUGCGAUAAUUAUAGAUUCAAAAGCAGGUGUAAGAUGUAAAACAGAGAUUCCUUGUACACUUUGCCCAGUUCCCCCCAAAGGUAACAUCUUCAAAACACAACCGCAUGAUAAUCCAGCCAUGACACCAACACGGAUGAAUGGCCAUCUUAGAUUUCUCCAGUUUUGCUUACGCGGAUGUCACAAGGCUGUGUCACAUGUAGACUCGUAGACUCCUUCCCACUGCUACAGUCAAGACUAUUUCCAUCGCCAAGAGGACCCCAUUUCCCUCCCGCUCCCUCUUCAAACCACUGAUAGGCUCUCCACUUCUAAAAUUUUAUCUUUUCAAAAGUGUCAACAAGUGGAAUUUGUGCAUAUUAAUAAAGGGGACCCUCACUAAAAUGGAAUAGGGAGGCUCUACAGGUGAAGACCCAGCAAAAAGAGAGGGACUUUGAAAGUAAAUCAGUGCCACUGUAGCUACAACUUUAUCCCAGCAGGAGGAAAGCUUCCACCUCCCCCAGCAACAGCCUAGCCAAUGAGAAGCCAGUACAUUUCCACCUCCCAGUUUUACCCCAAAGGACUUUCUGUUUUCCUCCCAACUUCCUCUUUCCUCUCUUUUCCCAGACUAGCCUUUGGUUUUGUUGUAGGUUGCUUGCCCUGGACUGUGAUUCUCUGCUAUUCCCAAAUAAACCCAUUUUUUGCUGGUAAAAUAACUGGCAGUUUCCCUUUGAGGGUGAUAGAUUACAUAGUAUGUAACUUUCUGAACUUGGAUUUUUUUCCCCACUCAGCAUAAUUACCCUGAGAUUCUGCAGACCCGCUUUGUGUAUGAACAGGGCAUUCUCCCUGAGUCCCAGUCCAUGCUGUGGAUGCAGUAUGGUUGGCUUAACCAUGUGCUCACUAAAAAGCAAGUGAGUUGUUUUCAGUUUUGGGGUAUCACAAAUAAAGCUGCUGCAAAUAUUUGGGUAUGGAUUUUUGUUGAAAGUAAGUUUUUAGUUUUCCGGGAUAAAUGCCUCAGAAUGCA
Long non-coding RNA from Mustela erminea (ermine), 1719 nucleotides. RefSeq lists it as uncharacterized. The record is from RefSeq and is a predicted model, not a curated record. The transcript is spliced from 3 exons. Lineage: Eukaryota; Metazoa; Chordata; Mammalia; Carnivora; Mustelidae.